Molecule: ribosomal RNA, 188 nt
Filed under: Streptococcus equi
Lineage: Bacteria; Bacillati; Bacillota; Bacilli; Lactobacillales; Streptococcaceae
Description: partial 16S ribosomal RNA
Rfam family: Bacterial small subunit ribosomal RNA
Source: RNAcentral
GCCGCGGUGAAUACGUUCCCGGGCCUUGUACACACCGCCCGUCACACCACGAGAGUUUGUAACACCCGAAGUCGGUGGGGUAACCCUUCUGGGAGCCAGCCGCCGAAGGUGGGACAGAUGAUUGGGGUGAAGUCGUAACAAGGUAGCCGUAUCGGAAGGUGCGGCUGGAUCACCUCCUUUCUAAGGAA